Molecule: long non-coding RNA, 1235 nt
Filed under: Bos taurus (domestic cattle)
Lineage: Eukaryota; Metazoa; Chordata; Mammalia; Artiodactyla; Bovidae
Description: long non-coding RNA NONBTAT025070
Source: RNAcentral
AAUCAACUAGAGAAGCAGACUGGGAGUGUUUUCACAUGUGUCGUGUAAGUGGUCCUAGCCAGUAUUUAUUUAUGAGGUCAAUGCUAAAAGGCAAGAAGUAAAUUGAGUCAUGCUAACAAACAUAAAAUAAUUUGUGAGAUUUAUCUUUGACCUGUCUAACAUUAUUUGGAGGAAAGGAAAAAAAAAAAGUUUACCAUAAACCCAAGAGAUGAAGAUUCUGGUAACUUACUUAUACAGCUGAGUCUACAUUUUGUAGGUGACUGUAGUCUGGUCUGUAAAAGCAACAAAGGGAAAAGCCCCUUAAGGCCGAUGAUCUCCAUUAACCUAAACAGCAUUUCUAUGCUGAGUUUAGCUUUUAUUGAAGGAAAAGUUCUGGAGUCCUGAGACUUGCUAUUUUGUCAAGGAGUUUGCAGGUUGGAGCCCCAGUUAGGCUUAAAGUGUGGUAAUAAUGGACACUAUUAAUAGGACCUGCUAUUUAAAACCGGAAUAUUUUAUAGUUACACAUUUUGAGCAAAGACUGGAUUGUAGAGGAUGCAGAUAGAAUGCAAAAAGGAAAAUUUUAAGAAAAAUCCAGAACUAACUCCUGGAUUCAGCCUUCCCAGAAAACCCAUAACUUUUACAUUUCUUGUUCUUUCUAAAUAGUUUGAAUCCAAGAUUUGUUUAGUAGCUUAGUCUAGAAUUAGACUUAACCCAACAUUUAUGUCCCUCUCUUGUUAUUUUUUCUAACCAAUAUAGAUAAGUUUUAUUUGCAAGGAGCAUAUUUAAAGUGUAAAAUAAUUAAUGCCUGCUUUGCUGUGAAACAAAUGUAGACAUGGCUGCUUGCAUAUGUUGUCUUGAUACAUCAAAAAUGCCGAUCAUUUAAGCUAUUAAUAAAAGACACUCUACUGCUUUAAAGGUAUUAGAGGAAUUUUUAAUUCCAUCUUCUUGCUGAGUGCAAAAUAUAAGACAAUAGGAACAAUUGUCUCAUGUAAGUGUAACCAAAAAACAAAAAAAAAAACAAAACUGGAGUAUGAAUACAACUGCUUUAGCAUGUGAUUUCAAGGAAGUAUUUGAAAAGCUGGGCUUGCUGCAGUGGACUGACUGCACAGCCAAAGUGCUGGCUGAGCAACUCUGGCUCGGGCAAGUCAUCAACCUUUUGAGGCCUUGCCUCCAGGCUCCAGGAAGCCCUCUGAGACAAGGCUCUCCAGUCUCCUCAAAUAAAUAGUUAUUGUGAAUGUUUGAAACUGCACUUUCUG